AUGGACGGCGAUGGACCGCCGCCGGCGGCCCCGGCCCCAUCGGUGGCGUCGGUGCUCGGCGACGACGACCUCUUCCGCGAAAUCCUCCUCUUCCUCGGCUUCCCCAACCUCCUCGUCCGCGCCGCCCUCGUCUCCAAGCGGUGGCUCCUCCACGCCUCCGAUCCGGUCUUCCUCCGCCGCUUCCGCGAGCGCAACCCGCCCCGCCUGCUCGGAUUCUACGCCGGCUACCCCGGCCGGUAUCAGUUCGUGCCGCUCCCGCAGCCCCGGGAGCUGGUCGCCCUCUCGCGCCGCCCGGCCUCCCCCUGCGACGGCGCCUUCGCCCGCGGAGCCGAGCGACUCAUCCACUGCCGGAACGGCCGCCUCCUCACCGCGUUCCGCAGCCGCUGGCGCCAGCUACGCGGCGGCAGAUUCAAGCACUAUCUCCUGGCGCCGCUGCUCGCCGGGGAGGCCCCAACCGUCCUCCCACCGGCACCGCCGCCCACCCAUGAGCGCGCUCAAGCGAGAUUCACCCAGAUGUUCCUUCCAGAGGAUGGGGCCCGCGACGGCAUCACCUUGGUGCAUCUCUUGAUGGUCAGCCGAAAAGUCUAUGCCGAAAUAUACGCCCUGGGAUCCGGCGGAUGGGGCGUCCCUGGCACCGCGGUGAUAGAGGUAGAGCACCCGCAUGGCACAACCUUCCUGGAAGAAUUGCUGCCGCCCGUUCAUGGCAAGGUCUUCAUGGUGAGAACCUCUGGGUACAUCCUGGGUCUUGAUUUGGCCACGUCAACCUUCUUCACCCUCGAGCUCCCAGUUGGAGUGCGGCGCAGUUACCUGCUGUCAUGUGCGGAUGAUUCCGGGCUUUAUCUCGUCAGUGCAGCCGGAUUUCAGCUCAGUGUGUGGCUGAAUGGGAUGACCGGUGCCGGCCAUGGCGCAGCUGGUUGGUUGCUGGUGGACACAUUCAGUAUCCGUGAGGGAUGCACACGUUUUGCUGAUCAAAAUCAGACUUUGAUGCCACAAGAUGGUGAUUUUCUUCGUGUUGCUGCAGUCGGGGACAAUGCCGAGUUUGUAUUCUUGGAUUAUGCAACAUAUGGUGUUGUCCUUUAUGUUCAUCUGAGGAGCAGGGUGGUUGAGAAGGUGUAUGAGCAGGCACCAUAUGACCAUGGUAAUGUUCAUAUAGGCCGCAUACAUAUCUCUCCCUUUAUGAUGAUGUGGCCACCUGUUUUCCCUGCACUGAACAGAGGACAUGAUAAAGAGCAAUUAUCUCAGCAUGUUUGA
Molecule: ribosomal RNA, 1251 nt
Filed under: Triticum aestivum (bread wheat)
Lineage: Eukaryota; Viridiplantae; Streptophyta; Magnoliopsida; Poales; Poaceae
Description: partial small subunit ribosomal RNA
Source: RNAcentral